UACGUAGGGUGCGAGCGUUAAUCGGAAUUACUGGGCGUAAAGCGUGCGCAGGCGGUUCGCUGUGUCCGAUGUGAAAGCCCCGGGCUCGACCUGGGAAUGGCAUGGGAAACUGGCGGGCUGGAGUGUGGCAGAGGGGGGUGGAAUUCCGCGUGUAGCAGUGAAAUGCGUAGAGAUGCGGAGGAACACCGAUGGCGAAGGCAGCCCCCUGGGCCAACACUGACGCUCAGGCACGAAAGCGUGGGGAGCAAACAGG
This 253-nucleotide ribosomal RNA is filed under the name uncultured bacterium. Its description in RNAcentral is "partial 16S ribosomal RNA". It matches the Rfam family "Bacterial small subunit ribosomal RNA", at positions 524 to 776 of the family's 1533-position model. The record is from RNAcentral.